Molecule: long non-coding RNA, 1230 nt
Organism: Rhineura floridana
Lineage: Eukaryota; Metazoa; Chordata; Lepidosauria; Squamata; Rhineuridae
Exons: 3
Source: RefSeq, a predicted model, not a curated record
ACCUACACUAUGCAACAUCCUGCAAGGAACAUCACAGCACAUCAGAUCAAGAAGCUUGGGGAUAGAGUUCUAUUGCUUAGUUUCCCUCUCUUUGGUUGCAAUCCUAAACUCAAAUCAACUGCAUUGGGAGAGCUUGUGAGUCCAGAGAAACCUUGGCAUGGAAUUCCUAGCCCAAGCACCUCAACACUGACACACACAUGCAACAUCAUUACAGCUGCAGGAACUCUCUAACCAGACCUGGGAUAGUGCUUCUAGACACUGGAGAUGGCUCAUGGCUGUGCAUGCAAGAAGGCCAUGGUUCAACCCCCCCGGGGCAGCACCCAAGGAGUUUGCAAGUAGCAGAGACAAAAGUUUAAGUUCUUCUGUUGCUAGAGGAAAAGCCACUAUAGCUGAACAAUUAAGUUCUAGACUCUAGAAAAAUGCAGUGACAAAACUUUGAUUUUGAGAAUGACGUGGAUGAGACAAGAUUCAAUUUGAUAUGGCUCCAUAAUGAACACGAAACGACAAGCUUGCUUUGCAAAGGUUCACAAUGUCAUUAAAAACUAUGUAGAUCUCUGAAGACUAUUCAAAUAUAAUUUGUUGACCCUCUUUCGUAUAUAUGGGUGCUAAAUGGAUACCUUUUCAAAAUCUCACAGGGUAUGACGUGAUUAGCAGCAUCUUAUUCCUUACAAAUUCUCUAUUUUUUAAAAAUAAAACUGAUCUCCUUGUUAUCAUUAUGAAGUGACUCAACACCAACUUCUCACCUUUUGUGAAAUUAUGCUUUUUAUUUGUACAUCCAUUUUCCUUGACAACCUCAAUAGAUGUGGGUGUAAAUAAUCAGAAAAGAAACUACAAAUCAUAAUGCCACAUCCCACAGGCUGUUUCAUUAUAACUGGUUUUUCAUUCAUGGAAAUAAAGAUGGUUUUAUCGCUAUCAAAAAGUGACAUAUUUAAACUUGCUGUCAACAAACCCUCACUUCAUUCUCCUUCUCAUCAAAAUUACACGCCAACAGAACUGGCAAACAUUAAUGGCUAAUUCUGAAAUAGCAAUACACUAAAUCUGUACCAAGUACCAAUUUCCACUUCACUCCAGCAGAUCUGCAACUGCAGAUCAAUUUUAAGGCCAAUUGGUAUUAAUCCUAGUCUUAUAAGAGUUUAUAAAAUUUAGACGCAACCCAUUUCAGCAUGUACUUAUGUCUUGGGUUGUAUUCAAAGUAGCACUAAGGUUAAUGUUCCAUUAGUGCAAAUAUUU